RNAcentral lists this ribosomal RNA (253 nucleotides) under uncultured bacterium. Its description in RNAcentral is "partial 16S ribosomal RNA". It matches the Rfam family "Bacterial small subunit ribosomal RNA", at positions 524 to 776 of the family's 1533-position model. The record is from RNAcentral.
UACGUAGGGAGCAAGCGUUGUCCGGAAUCAUUGGGCGUAAAGCGCGCGUAGGCGGCCUUGUAAGUCCGUUGUGAAAGUCAAAGGCUCAACCUUUGAAAGCCGAUGGAUACUGCAAGGCUGGAGUCCGGAAGAGGCGAGUGGAAUUCCUGGUGUAGCGGUGGAAUGCGCAGAUAUCAGGAGGAACACCAAUAGCGAAGGCAGCUCUCUGGUACGUGAUUGACGCUGAGACGCGAAAGCGUGGGUAGCAAACAGG